Molecule: long non-coding RNA, 39727 nt
Filed under: Medicago truncatula (barrel medic)
Lineage: Eukaryota; Viridiplantae; Streptophyta; Magnoliopsida; Fabales; Fabaceae
Description: long non-coding RNA (MTRU_LNC000949)
Source: RNAcentral
GGCUAAUUAGUUGUGUUACUAUGUGAUGUUACUUGCACUCAAAAGUCAUGGCUUUAACCUGUCUUAUUCUCAAUAGGAUGCUACAGUCGUUAUGUUUCAUACAUUUUCAUUGAAAUGGGCUUGAACUCUGUCACAUGGUUAUGUUCUGUUAUGUUUAUCUGAUCUUUAAUGUUGUCAUUGAUAUUAGCCUUAGCUCUUGAAUGGUAGAUGUGAGGUGUGUAUGAAUGAUUCAUGUGUAGAAUUCUUUCAUAGGCUGCAUUUAAAUGUUGAUUUGAAGAGAAAAUUAACUAUCUAAUAAAUGAAGAGAAUAAGUAGAAUGUAGCGAGGGUGUUGUUAUGAAUGAGGAAAAUAGAGAAAAUAAUUGACAGACCGUAACACAACAAUGUUAUGCAGAGACUUUUAAAGAUAAAUUUCCCUUGCAAAAUUAGUACAUAACACCGUCCCUCAAUACGAUACAUCAUUUUUAUGCAGAUUUUUACAUACAUCAGUAAUCCCUACCUAGGGUUUAGUGAAAAUACAACCUAAUUGGUCUGCUCUUAGUAGGUUUUAACAGAAUUGACUCUUUAUGAAGUUUGGAACAAAACGUCUACCCGCAUUUAUGCACAUAGCUAUUGUGUGGAAUGCAGGAUCUGUUAGCUAUGUGUGUGUCAACCAAGCUCCUUCAAUAAACUUGAGCUAUUGUUCUAUCCUCAGAUUCAACAUUAGAGCCAACAGCACUACCCUUUGUACUUUUCCAAUAUAAAAGACUAAUAACCUUAGAGUAAUGUUUUUCUGGUUCCUACAAAAUCACUAUUGUACUCCCCUGGGCAAAUAUCCAUUUUAGGCGGAUAGUACCGGCAUGCAAAUAAGAUCCCACAUAUGAUUCAAUUCAAGAAGUACCACUGUAGGAGUGUUUAGGGGAUCAACAGAGAUUGGAACAUAAGAAGCAGGAAGAAAAUAUGAUUCUAAAGAGUUAACUCUUGCAAUAUUACUAAACUCUACCACACAUAUAUGAGUUAGAUCAUAUGUAAAAUCUCUUUUGCAUGAACUUUGACAAGAUCGAUAAACUUUCAAUUAGUCAAUUCUAUAGUUUUACCCUAUAUUUAUACAUGGUUUUGGCUACUGAUAUAUGUUUUCAAAUAAUAUUUUGAAGUACAUAAACUUGCAUGAGAUCAAGAUUCAGGUAUAGGAUUUGGGUUUAUCAACUCCUCGCUAUAUCGAGUUUGACAUGAAAACAGCCUUUAGCAUUGUUGAUGAUCUAAACUCUUAAGUAUUGCCGUGGAUAGGCAAUUCUACCUAGUGGGAACAAACUUUCAAGUUUGCUGAAAUUAUUAAUAUAUACUGUCAAGCUAGUUUUUUUUUCAUAUAUACAUUUGGGCUAAAAGAAAAAACCUGGAGCAAUUUUUCUAAAUUGCUUUGUUCAUGUCCUUAUGCUACUAAACUUUAUGGUUAAAGAUAUAAUAUAGUGAAUAUCUAAUAUCUAAUAUAAAUUCAACCAAAAGAAAGAUAGGAAUGCAAAAGCUUAAUUUUAUCAAAUUUUUAGUGUUUACUUUGAUUUAAUUGAUCUAAAACUUUGACAUGCAUUGGUUGUUUAUUGACAAACUUUUCCUCUCAGUUGUACGAUAUAGUGCGCAAAGAAAUAUGGUACCGGCCGGACAUGUUCUUUUAUAGGGACAUGCUUGUGAUGCUUGCAAGAAACAAAAGGGUGGAUGAAACAAAGAGGGUGUGGGAUGAUUUGAAAGGAGAGGGAGUUUUAUUUGAUCAGCAUACAUUUGGAGACAUUGUAAGAGCCUAUCUUGAUAGUGGUAUGCCCUCAGAGGCCAUGGACAUAUAUGAAGAAAUGAGACAAUCUCCCGAGCCUCCUCUGUCAUUACCUUUCCGUGUAAUAUUAAAAGGACUAAUUCCAUAUCCCGAAUUAAGAGAGAAAAUAAAAGAUGACUUUUUGGAGGUUUUCCCAGAUAUGAUCAUCUACGACCCUCCUGAGGAUUUGUUCGACGAUCAUGAGAAGCAUGAUGAUGUAUCUAAUAGUGACAUUUAUUGAGUCAGUGUUGGAUCUUUAUACACCUCCUCACAUCAAGGACCAGACAUUCGAAGCGGGAACAGAUUGAAUUUGAGCUAACUUUGGUUCCUUCGACACUAUUAUCUGCACUUUGCUGUAAAAUAGAGAUAUUGAAGUUUGAAGCAUAUUUUUAUAUACUGAAGCAGCUUGAUGACAUGCAAUGCUGAGACCCGGUAGCUGCUAUUUUGAGUAAUCUCAUUUUUUUCGCUUUUCUCCAUUAAUCUCAGUGAUGAGAUUUUCCAAUUCUCUCUCAUCAUUGUACUUUAUACAUCUGAACAUUGACAGUUUGAAUGAGUAUUGGGAAGAGAAGUUGUUCAAUGUGGAAAUACACAUGCACACAUUUUUUUCUUUCUUUUGAUAACAAUAUUCAGUGUAUUUAAUUUGGUUCCACACUUGAAGUAUUUCUAUCAAAAUACCAAACCUACGAAUCUUUUACUAGUCUAGAAUAUGCUUCAAAAGUUAGAGGAAAUCUCAUUACUUUUCAAGAGUGUGUUUUUAUGCUCCAUGUUCAAUCUACUCAAAAUCUUUUAAACCAAGCAAACGUAUGACUAUUUUAAUAGAUGGCCUAAUAUGAAAAAAAAAUUAAGCUAAAAAUAUUGUUGAAUUUUCUUAGAAGAAGUUGGCGUAAUUUGUUAAGGUCGAAUCGAAAAGGAGUACACGAGUUUAACCGUUGAUUGGAACAAAAUUUUGGUCAAGUUUUAUUUAUAUCCUUUGGAUUAUCAGAGUGAAUUUCUCUUACAAAUUAGAGGAUUAAGACACACAACACACUUUCCAUAGGCAAAGGUUCAUCCUUUUUACAUUUAAGAAGCUAGUAAACAAUUAGAUAUCUAAUUGCAGCUUUGGUCUAUAUUUUCAUUUUAAAUGCAACAAAUUAAAGCAAUUACACUGCCAAUUCAUAGAUCUUUAAGCAACGGCUGUUAAAAAUGUUGCACACUUUCCAUCAUCAGAAAUUUAUAGUUAACCACCUCUAAUUUAUGAUUAAUAAAAGCUAAUGGGUUUUUAACACCUAAUAUAUUCAUUACUAUCUAUCAGAACCACUUUUCUGAAAUUUGUUAAACCCUUGUCAUAAAAGUUGUUCAAUUUUUAUAAUUCAAAUUAUAGAACUGUAUUACAAAGAUAGCUACCAGUCUAUACAAAUAAUUUUGGUGUCAUCUUUGAACUAAAAGUGAAUACUUAUUAUUUUUUUCUUGUAAUUUUUAUUACAAAAUUAUUAAUAAUCCUCAUAAUCAAAGUUCUUUAAAGAAUUACUUUCAAUAUAAAUCUAAACAAUUGAAUCUAAUGUUACAUAGUUGAUCAGAAAAAUGAUUUUAACAACUUUAGUAAGACUUCUCCUAAUAAAUGCAAGAGUUGUAGCGGUAUUAACAUUAUUCAAUAAGAUAUGCAUGCAUGCAUCUGAAAAGAAAAAAAUAGUUAUUUGUCUUAAAAUAACUCAAGAUCGUAAAACUUUAUUCAUCAUCAUCCUUAUCAUGUUUUAGAAAACUUUCAGUGUUUGCAAUAUUAAUCAAUUCAUAAACUUCAUCAUAUGUGCUAUAAGUCAAAUUUUCUAUUAACAGGUAAAAAAAAGGUGCCAUCCAAAAAAGAUGGCCUUGUUUGAUCGAAUCUCGAGAACAUGCUCAGACUGCCACUGCUACCAAUGAUUACAAGGAAGAAGAAUCACAGUCAAAAUAGGAUACAAAGAUAACAAUGGUCUUUCAACUUAUAAACAUCAGCCUAAAGGCUAAAUCAUGUCUACAUAACCAAGAAGAGCCUGUCAAACUAUUUACAUUACAAAAUUAUCACAAUGAACAGUGUGUUAAGUGUUAACUCUUGAAGAUCACAUCAAGACUUGAUCAAUCACCUAGCAGGCAAAGUGGCUGUCUCAUGCCAACUCCAGUUUAAGUGCAGGAAAUUGCUCUAGAUCAUGGGAAGCACUUAAGAUUUUCUGCACACAAUCAGUUUUGGAAAAUUGGAAAUUAAAUUAUAGUUAUAAUUUAAAAGAAAUAGUAUUAUAACUAAGAUCUAUUGAAGUAUAGCAUAAACUAGUUCAAUGAGAUGGUAAAAUAUCUUAGUGAGCAUUGAGACUUGAAUUAAGCCCACAUUUGAUGUAGAAGCAACAACACAUACCUGCAUCAUCAAAAGUAAUAUACUACUUCCUGAACAAUAUAAAUUAACAGCAGCAUAAAAUGUUGGCACAACUACAAAUAACAGUGAAUUUAUGUACACAGUAUGUACUGUUCUUGUUCAAAUUCAAAAGCAUUGAUGAGGUUCAAAAUUCUCUUAACAAUAUAUCUACUUAUAAAGUUGGAAACAACAAAUGAGACCAAAAAGUAAGAACUUAAACAGGAUCUCAAAAUUCAAAUGCAAACAAUAUAUUUAGGGGUUAACUGGGUGAUGAACUCGAAUGCAAGAUCACAAUCCCAAAAAAAAUAGUGGUCAGAGGUUAAAUUCUGCUGCACAUAAGAUUUUAAGGAAUUUUUUUUUGGGGAUUUUUUUGCCUAAUUGUAUCGUUAGUAUGCAUAUAAAAGCAAUAAACAAAACUGGGUUAUUUAAGCUGAUUAUUAACUGGACAACUAUGACAUUGAAAGUAACAAAUCACCAGAAAAACAAUGUGGUCAACUCAUAAAUAUCUCUAACAAUAUUUACCAGUGCAGCAACAUCUGCGUCUUGUAAAAUAUUGCCGUCGACUUCCAAUCUGGUAAUAGGAAACUCGGGAAGAUGUCCAGAUUGUUUCUUGCCAAGCAAGUCACCAGGUCCACGUAAUAAUAGGUCCAUAUUAGCAAGAUGAAACCCAUCUGAUGAUUGCUCCAGUACUUUCAAACGAUUAAGGCCACUGGCAGUUGAUGAUAUUAAUAUACAUUUUGACUGCCUUGUUCCGUGUCCAACUUGGCCCCUGAGUUGGUGUAAUUGGGCCAUUCCAAACCUCUCAGAAUUCAUCACAACCAUCAUCGAUGCAUCUGGAACAUCAACACCAACUUCAAUUACUUGAGUGGCAAGUAGUAUAUUCAAUUCUCCAGUCCUAAACUUCCCUAACGUUUCUUCUUUUUCUUCACUUCUCAUUCUCCCAUGUAAUAAACCACAAUUGUAUCCUGGAAACCGGUCUGAGAUAACUUCGAGAUCUGCAGAAGCAGCACGAAGCUGAGGUAACUGCUCCGAAAGUUCGAUAAUUGGGUAGACAAGAUAAAUUUUCCCCCCAUCUUCCAAUUCAUCCAUCAUCAUCUGGCAAAAACCCACAUUUUUUACAUCAAUACAUGGGGAAAAAAGAACAACCAAAUCCUUGUUCUAAUCUUAUCAACUUGGAGCACAUCUGCGGUUGGUUGAGAGCCAAAUGAUUGACAGAGUAUGAUUGUAAAAUAAUGGAUGCAUAUCACUAUGUAUCACAAACCUAUUAUAUUAGGGAUUGGGUCAAAAUGGUAAAAAAAAGGAAAGAGAAACAAAUACAAAAAUAUAUAAAUUCCCUGAUUGGGUCCAAAUGCAUGUGAUGUGAUACAAAAUGAUACACCUUUAUAUUAGAGCUAUCAAUAUGAAAUGUGUCUAGCCAACUGAACAGAGCUUUAAUAUAUAAAUAGAUAGUAAAUGAAAUAAUUUACAGUUACUGUAUUCACUAUACUAUACAACAUAUACUAUAUUUAUAGUGAGUUGGAGUUGAACUUUUUUUUUUUUUAGGAAAGUAGGAGUUGAACUUGGUACUCCAAAGUUUAUAACACUCACAGACACUGCACAUCAAUCACACGACCCUGGUGGUACAUAUAACAUAUAUUCUAAUGGAAUUCUGCAUAAAAAAUCUGAUUAUGUGUGCAUGAUAGAAAUGCUUCAUCUUCAUCUCAAGUAUAUAUAUUAAUGGCAUGUAAGGCAUAUUUUUAAGUCUCGUCAUCUAGUUUUCAUUGUUUAAAUUAUCAAAGUACACUCAAUUACCAAAAAACUGGAAAAUUAAGCACCAAUGACAGUGCAGAUAAAAAUAGUAUAGAUUAAAUUUGUCACCUUGUAGGCAUCCUCAAAUCCUUUGUCACUUCCCUCAAUGGCAUAUGUUUGAACAGGAAUCCUUCCUUGUGGUAAGUCGGUUAUCUGUGAUGACAAAAGAGUAAGCAUUUGCAGCAGCAAAUAAUUUAUAAGUACUAAAUUGUGAAAAUUAGUAACAAUAAACCUUGUAAAACGAUAACCACAAAAACUCGUUACAAAAUUUGUUAAAGUCUGUUAUAUUUUGUAUUGAUGACAAAAUCAUAAAUUAUAUGUCAGGAAAGACAAAAACAGAUGAAACAAUCCAACAAAGUAACUGAUGUAGAGUGAGCUAGCUGGUUGUAUUAUUUAUUUAAGGUUUUAAUUAAUUUAAUUAAUGACUUUUUUAUUUGGUAACUAUUUGGUUUAAUUAUUUAAUAUAAGGUUUUAAUUUCAUACUUAAGAUAUCUUUUAGUAUUAUUUGUUGAUAUUGAUAAGAGCCCCACAUUGGAUGAAAUAUGGCCUGAAAAAUGUGCUUAUAAGUUGUGGGCAAUCCUCACCUUAUAAAUCGGUUUUGUAAGGCUUGAGUUAGGUCCAAUCAAAACUCUAAGAUCUAGAGUCUGGUUUGACCCUCCUGGACAUGUCCUGCCACUAUUCCGCUGCUGUUUCCAAAAAUUAGACCAUUCUUAUAGUUGUAUACUAGUAUUUGGAAUCUUUUGUUGAACCCUCCUUCAUUUCAAACAGUUUUCUCUAGAAUUAUCUUGUAGCUAUCUAAUCUCAAAGGCAUUCUACUUUCCACUACUGGCCAUUGUCGUCGCUACGACCAGCCACCGGCUGCAGUUGCUAAAACAAAUUUAUAACAAUUUUUUGCGAAACCAUCACCAUCUAGAUUGGAAUCUACUGAUCUAGAAAACCAUAAAGUUUCAGAUCCAACAUCCAUGGCAUGCCCCCCCAUGAGCCAUUACAUCUAGCAACACGCGCCCCCAUGUAAUUUCUAAGACUAGCAUUAAUAUAAAAACCACCAAAGCAAACCAUCUUAAAAUUUGGACAGAUGACCUAACUUAAUCCCAUAAAACUGGCUUAUAAGGUGAGGACUCUCAACACAAGCCUCUUGUUCAGGAACAUCAGUAGUAUGGACUAAUGUAUGUGGGUGGAAUAACAGUGAUCUAAAAACACUCCAUCGCGCCCAAGACUAAACAUCCAGAGCGUUGAGAAGUGCAAGCUGAAUAAUAAAGAUCUAGGAUAGACUUAGAAUUUGAAUUUAGGGCCUAACUCAACCCCACAAAAUCAGCUUAUAAAGUGAAGACUGUCCAAGCUUUUUAAGCCCUACCUAGGUAGUAUCUCUAGUCGAUGUAGGACUAUCAACAUACAUAUUGAACAAUUUAAACUUAUUCAAGCAAAAUGGACACAGAUAGAGGGAGGAGGAAGUUUUGCAUUAGAAUGAUGAACAGGAAAAAUAAGUACCUGUGUCAGUGACAUAUCACCAUAUAAAGCAAGCGCAAGGGUCCUUGGGAUAGGAGUAGCAGACAUGACAAGAACAUGUGGAGCCAUAUAAUCAUCAGUCUUUGAGGACUUGUCUGUAAUAGCAUCCUCCAGACUCGAAAUUGAAGAUUUAUAAAAUAACUGAGAAAAAUAAGGAGAAGACAGUCAUAAUAUUAUAAAACAAGAUCAGAUAAAAAAAAAAGAAGAAAAAGAGCGAUGAAGGCAUCACUUGCAAAUAAGAAACAUCCUUUUGCAGGACUCAAUAUUCUGUAGCAAUGAAGAUAUAAUUGUAGAAAUUACUCUAUCUUGAGAGUAUAUCAUUUCAAUGAGAAUGGAGCUCCUUUUAUAGGAGAGAAUACAGCUAAUCAACUCCUUAAUUUAAGGAGUGACAUAAUGAAAAAUAAACAACCAUUAAAAUAGAAUAACAAUAAAGGAAACAAUAUAUAUUUCAACAAUAAUGUAUAAGCAUAACAUGAAUGUUUUCCUCUAUAAGCAUCAUAAAUUGUAACUAAAGAAGUUGGGAUUAGUUAGAAGAAAUAAAAAUAGCCAAAAUAAGGAUAAAGGGUGUCAUUUUGUACAUUUGAUAGUUGUAUCUGAAAGGAUGUAUCUAUCCUUUAUGAAGGGAAAUGAAAUAUUAUCUGAAGAAAAUGGUUGAUCAGAUGUUUCUUCAAAUGACAUAUUCCCUGAUGACCGUUGUGGGUAAUAACGACAUCAUCCCAUAUACUACAACAUAAAUACAUUUCCCAAUUGAAGAACGUCAAUAGAGAGUUGAAUAAUCAGGUUCCUACCGAAUUCCUAUACAACAAUACUAAGCUUCUUAAAAAACACAAUGAAACUGUCUUCAACCAAAAACUAAAUGGCAUAGCUGACAAAAUUUAGUGGCACAACACUUGGAUGUUGUGAUAUUUGGAUAUCAGUGUGUCCAUAAUGUAACUAUAUUAAAAUCCUAGACAAAGAGAAGUGAACCACCUUACUGUUAAAUCUUCCUCUUUGAAUCACACCAAAGCGAUGCUGCUCAUCCACCACAGCAAUACGUAAGGCUGAGAAUUCAACGCUAUCUGCAAACAAACUGUGGGUUCCAAUGACGAUUGAAAUUUCUCCGGUCUGGAUACCCUGCAACAUCAUAUCUUGAAUAAAAUUAUAAGAAUUUCAUAAGGUGCAAGAAAAGAUUAACUGGUAGUUCUAACACUCAGAAAAAUAAGUAAUCAUACCUUGCGAAUAAGCCGCGAUUGUUUUAUUGGGAUUGAACCAGUGAGUAAAGCAACAGUUGGCUUGAACUUGACCUCGUCCGAGUUUUCAAGCAACGCAAGCAAGUGUUCAUAAUGCUGGAUUGUAACCAACUCAGAUGGAACCAUGAAAGCCGCCUAAUAGUUAGACAAGAGUAUCAAUUAUUAAUAUGCAUUACAUGUCAAAACUUUCUAAGAUGCAUAAAAAUCCAAAUGAAAAGCCUGGUUAUAAUAUCCUAUACAUCUGAUAGGCGCAAUGGACGAGUCUAUAGAGAGAUCAUUGGAAGAUAUUAAAGGAUAUUGAAGGAUUAGUUAUGUAUAGAUAUAUAGUGAUGUAACACUGGCAACUGUCAGUCACUAGGGAAUGCUGACUGACACGUGACAGUCAGCUAGAGGUCUUUAUCUUUGUCUAUACAGAGUCUCUUCCUCUACCUGUAAGAAAAACUAACUGAAUAGAAUCAAAAUCUGUUACACAGAGAAGCUAGAAGCUCUCUAGAAUCUUCGUCUUACAUUUUCUAUUAUGGUAUCAGAAGACGACAUCGAUCCGGGGGCUUCCACCCAAACCUUGCCGGUGUCCUCCGCAACACCGCGCCCUCCACCGUUGACGGUAGCUCCGCUAUCGUUUUCGCAUUCGCACUUGUUUUCUGCAAUCUCAGAGAAACUCGAUUCGGAGAACUAACUCCUUUGAUGCCAGCAGGUUGAACCUGUAAUCAAGGCGCAUAAGAUUCAUCACUAUCUCUUGAAUCCCUCGAUUCCGGUGAAAUUCAAAACUCUUGAAGAUGCGGCGGCGAAUCGCGUUUCCGAUGAGUUUGAUACCUGGGAACGGCAAGAUCCUCUGCUAAUUCUGAAUCUGAAAAUCAAUCCUUUUCUAAACAUUUUGAUGGUUCUGGUGAGUGUGAUUGCUGCUCCACUCGCGGUGGCAGAGGCCAUGGUGGCCGGAGUUCAGUACAAUGUCGAGUUUGUCAAAGGUUUGGGCAUGACGCAUCAACUUGCUUUCAUCGUUUCAAGAAGGACUACGUGCCUACUGUGCCUAUGGAAGCACAUGCUCAGUACCCCCAUUCAUUCUCUCCCUGGCAUCAUCAAUCCAGUACUGGAACAGGUAGCAACUUUACUCCAUCUCAUGCCAUGGCAAGCUAAGUCUUGACCUGUUCCCUAGGCUUAUGUUCCAUGGAGCUACUUUGGACCCCCACCUCGUGGUAUGCCACCUCUUCCUACCUUGUCCAUGCCACACUACAAUCUCUAUCCACCUCAGAAUUUCAUGCCCUCCUUUACUGGUGCACUCUCCAACCAAAACCUCAGGCACUCAUGGCUAACUCUGAUUCUGCUAGCUCUGUUAAUUGGCACCCAGAAUCUUGAGCCUCGCAUCAUGCAACUUAUAGUGCCCAGAAUAUUCAUCAGACUACCCCAUUUGAGGGUCCAGAUCAGAUCUAUAUUGGUAACCGGCAAGGUCUGCCAGUAAUUUCCUCAGGUUCCUCUCAAUUUUUUUUUCACCAUUAAACCCUAAAUUUCAAUUUGUUCUGUCUAACUUGUUACAUGUUCCACACACCACGGAAAAUCUUAUUAGUGUAAGUCAGUUUGCUAAAGAUAAUAAUGUUUUCUUUGAGUUCCAUGCUAAUUCUUGCUAUGUGAAAUCUCAGGCUUCCAAUGAGACUCUUCUCAAAAGGGUGCUUGAUAAAGAUGGCUGAUCUGUCCACACACCCAUCACCAAAAUGGCAUGGUCGAACGGAAACAUCGCCAAAUAGUGGAUAUGGGACUCACAUUAUUAGCUCAAGCUUCAUUACCUUUGCUAUACUGGGAUUAUGCUUUUACCACAGCUGUGUAUCUUAUCAACAGGUUACUUACGUCUGCAAUUCAGUUUGCAGUACCAUACACUAAACUUUUUGGCCUAAAACCUGACUACAAUUUUCUCAGAACAUUUGGAUGUGCUUGUUUCCCUUUACUGCGUCCAUACAACAAUCACAAGUUCCAAUAUAGGUCUCUUGAGUGUAUUUUUCUUGGUUACUCCACUUCUCACAAAGGCUAUAAGUGCUUAUCAUCUGAAGGACAUCUCUAUAUCUCCAAGGAUGUGCAUUUCAAUGAAUAUCGGUUUCCUUACUCUCAUUGGAAAUCAGCUUCACAAUCAUCUCAGGUACCACUAUCUCCAUUUGUACCUGCUGCUAUUCCCAUUGCUUCACCACCUACAUCUCCUAAUCACACUUCUAUAACUCACUCACCACCUUUUCACAAUUCACCUCCUGUUCUUAGUACCCCAACCCACAUUAACAACACACCAAACUCAUCGUCAUCCUCCAGUUCUGCUCCCAUUCCUGAAUCACUGACAGCAAUCCCACCAUCAUCCUCCAGUUCAGAACCUACCCCUGAACCAAUCCACACAAAACCUAUUCCAGCAUACAAGAGACCUCAUCUACCUAGUAUUCAUCCUAUGAAUACACGUGCCAAGAUUGGUAUUACAUGUCCCAUACUUCAUCCAACUCUCUUGCUUACACAUGCUUAACCCAAAACCACUAAACAAGCCUUAGCUGAUCCUACCUGGCUUGCUGCAAUGCAGUCAGAAUAUGACGCCCCGCUGAAAAACAACACCUGGAUUUGUCACUCUUCCCUCCAACAGGGUCCCCAUUGAAUGCAAAUGGGUAUUUCAUAUCAAAGAAAAUCCUGAUGGAACAGUCAAUAAAUAUAAGGCACGUCUAGCGGCGAAAGGCUUCCAUCAGAGAUAUGGUGAUGACUAUACUAAAACCUGCAGUCCUGAUAUAAAGCCUGUUACAGUUCGCACCAUUUUGUCUUUGGCCUUGUCAAAGGGUUGGCACUUUCUCAAUGUAAACAAUGCCUUUCUCAGUGGCACUCUUGAAGAAACGGUCUACAUGACCCAGCCUCCAGGAUUUGAGCACACAAACAAAUCUCUAGUAUGCAAGCUCAACAAGGCUCUCUAUGGCCUCAAACAGGCGCCUAGAGUGUGGUUUGACAAGCUUCAAACUACUUUCCUUCAGUUUGGAUUUUAUGCCAGCAAAUGUGAUCCAUCUUUCUUCAUCUACUCUAAGGACAAUUGUCUCAUCUAUAUGAUCGUUUAUGUUGGAGACAUGAUUGUCACUGGUAACAAUACACCUUUACUUCAACAGCUGGUGUCUCACCUUAACUCAGCUUUUUCCUUAAAAGAUCUUGGCGCCUUGAAAUAUUUCCUCGGUAUUGAAGUCAAACCUCAGUCAAAUGGCUCUCUUCUUAUUACACAAAGCAAGUAUGUGAGAGAUCUUCUAGCCAAAACCGACAUGCAGGAGGCAAAGUCACUUCCUUCUCCCAUGAUUUCUGAUUUAAAGCUGUCUAAAGAUGGAUCCACCCCUUUCUCAGAUCCUACUCUCUGUAGGUCUAUUGUUAGGGCCCUCCAAUACGCAGUAAGUACUCGGCCAGACAUUUGUUUUUCAGUCAAUAAAGUGUGCCAGUUUAUGUCUAAUCCAUUAGAAUCUCAUUGGACCACUGUCAAACGUAUUGAGGCAUCUUAAGGGUACUCUGAGUUGGGGCCUUCUUGUCAGACCCAUCCCUACCUAUCCUCUCUCUAUAUUGGCCUACUGUGAUGCAGACUGGGGGUCAGAUCCUGAUGACCGUAGCGUAGAUGCAUGUGUAUUCUUAGGUCCGAACUUAAUUUCAUGGUGGGCAAAGAAACAAGCUGUUAUUGCCAGAUCAAGUACAGAGGCUGAAUACAGCAGCUUAGCACUGGCCAAAUCUGAGUUACUGUGGGUACAGUCUUUCCUCUCUGAGUUAGGAGUCUCUUUCACCAGUCCUAAGGUUCUUGUGAUAACAUGAGCACUGUUGCUGAGCUCACAAUCCUGUCCUUCAUGCCAGAUCAAAACAUAUGGAGCUAGACUUAAGGUUAUCCAAAAGAAGCUUUUUGUCUCCAACGUUCCUGGACAGGUUAAGGUUGUUGACAUUAUGACUAAGGCUCUACCUCCUACCAGAUUUGAAGGCUUGAGAACCAAGCUAACUGUGUGUUGCAGCCCCACAGUCUAGCUUGCGGGGGAGUAUUAAAGGAUUAGUAUGUAUAGAUAUAUGGUGAUGUAACACUGGCAACUGCCAGUCACUAGGGAACGCUGACUGACAUGUGUCAGUCAUCUAGAGGUCUUUAUCUUUGUCUAUAUAUUGUCUCUUCCUCUUCCUGUAACUGUAAUGAAAAACUCUAACUGAAUAGAAUCAAAGUUUGUUACACAAAGAAAAGCUAGAAGCUCUCUAGAAUCUUCAUCUUACAUUUUUCUAUUAGAAGAGGAGACAGGGAGGCAGGAGGGAGUAACUUAAUCAAACACAUGGCAGUAUAGGAGAGGAGGGGGGAUUGAGGUUUCAUGACGUGUACGAUGGAUAUGUUUGAGAAGUAAAACCAAAUGGGAAAGGCAUAAGAGAAUUGAGUAGUUCAGGUGGGUUGGACUGAUAAGGGAUCAUGUCUGUUCUCAGCUUGGUUCUUCAAUUUUCUGUUAUAUUACAAUUUUGUAAGUAACCAGGUUCCACUCCAUUGUCAAUUAUAUUAUAUGUUCUAUAGUUUUGUAUUAAAUUAGUAACACUCUGGAUAUGAUGUGUUCUCUCCUUCAAGUCAGUUUAUGUUUCUAUCUCUGUUUGAUUCCUAUAAAUAUCCAUCACUUUAAUGACAAAUGAAGGGAAUAAAUUGACAGGCUAACAGCAUGCAAAAUAAAAAGGGCGAAGUACCUGGUAGCCAGAGCCAAUAACUUCCAUGCAUGCAAGAAAAGCAACAAUAGUUUUCCCACAUCCAACAUCACCCUGAAAGUGUCACAAGAUAACAUCAGACGGGAAUAUUCAUGUUCAUCUAUUAACUACAAGAGAUCAAUGAAAAAGAUCUAAUAUUAGAAUGAUUUUUACUUUAGCAAUAUUAUUCAUGUCUGAGAAUGUUUUAUUGAGGCUUCCAUUUGGGAGGAGGAUCUUUUAUCAUCCAAUCUCAAAGGAACUUUCUACUAUUAUCUUAACCAUAUUAAUCUUAAUCCCCAAAGAACAAAAAAGGUUGGUUAUUCUAAUCCAGAAUUAUCUUGAAAGAUUUGAAGUUUAGACCUGGGAGCUGUUGUUAGAAUUCACACAUGAAAGUUAUUGGAAAUUUUUUAAUUGAAUCCGUAUUUACAUGCUUGAGGGGUUUGUUUCAUAUCACCCAAUUUCUAACAUUACUUUUUCUAUUGUUUGUACGUACGUGAAGCAAGAAGUGGAUGGAAUAAUGUAUAAAUAUGGCGAUAGUAAAACAACAACAUAAGAAAAAUCAAAACCUGAAGUAGCCGACUCAUUGGAACCGGCCUUUUUAAAUCCCAAAUAAUUUCUGAAACAGCUUGCAGUUGACCGGAAGUAAGAGGAUAGGGAAGGAGCUCCAAAACCUUCUUGGUGAGACAGGACCAUUCCUUUGUACAGUGUUAUUUUCUGGUCUUCUAUACUUAUCUAGCAACCCAACCUUUUCUACUUGUGUACCAAGACCUUCGAGCAUUUGGAAUAAUUGUCCUAACUGACAAAAGACAGAACAGAAUUAGAUCAAAUAAAAAAAAAAAAAGAUUUCAGUAUAUAAGAAGAACGAUAAAUUAUUACAAGGAAACAUGAUAGAGCGCAAUAUAUAAUGGGUGAAAAGGUCAAACAAUUACUGCAGAUGCCCAGCAUACAGUUCACCAGAAGUGUAAUUCAAAAGCAUUGGGAACUCCAGAACAUUAAAGAAAAAUUUAUGCUCAACUGCAUGUAAGUUUAGGUUAAAUUUUUCAAUAGAAACUCUUACAGUUGGGUUGGACUGAAAGAAAACCAGAUUGUAACGUGAGGAAUGUCUCCCACUUAUAAAAACUUUUUCAUCAAAAACAAUUCCAAAUUUAACAUCAAGAUGAUAAGCCAAACAUUGACCAAGCAAAAAGAACUGAAGCAUACAAAGGAUGCGUUUGGAUAAAUAGCUUGAUUAAAUGCUUAUUUAAAGAGCUACUCCGCGGAGCUUAAAAAGCUGCUAAUUCAUAAGCCUAGUUGUUGAUCCGUACCAUGAACAAUGGUCAUUAGUAACUUUCAAAUAGAUACCUAAAAUAAAUGGAUUCACAUAUGACACCAUGUACCCAAACAUAAGCUGGAUAAUGGUAGCAAAAUAAAAAGAAAAGGUUUAGAAAUGUACACAGAUGAUACAGCACACUAAAUGUGACAAAACUAUAAUCUCACCUGCAGGUAAAAAAAUUCAUCAAAUAUCAGUCUCUUGCGGGCCAGAUCAGCUUCACUAAUAUCCUUUGGUUUGUGAAUUCCAAAAUAUGCCUGUUUUUUUAGUAUUGAAGAAUUUAAAAUUUCAGUUAAAGUAUACAGAAGCAGAUGACAGUGAAGAUUCAGACAAUAUGAAAUGAGUCAGUAAUUUUUUCUUAGGCAUAGAGACCAUUGCAUAUGUAGAAAGAGUGAAAACAGAGACAUGAUGCAGAAACCAUGUGAUAUAACUACACAAUCGAAUCCAUUUUAUAUAGGCUUAAUUCAAUAAAUACAAAUAAAUAUAAGUGAUUAUGUUCCUGUAUAAUAUGCCUAAUAAUUUUAAUGAUCCUAAUUAAAGUAAACAAAUCAUAAAAUAUAAAAUAAAAAUUAAUCCGAACAAACUAUCUGGGAUGCUCUAAAAUGGUCCAAAAUAUAAAAAAAAAUAUUAUGGGACAUUUCUCAGACUUUCUAACAUUCCCUCUCAAUCUAAAGCUUGCUAAGUUUUCAACUUGUUACAAGAAAACAUAUAUCUCAACUGUGCAAAAGAAGGUUGCUAGAAAGAUAGCUUGGCUUGAAUGAUUAUCAGCCCAUGUACAUUUUCCUUCUUUUAAGGCAUGGUCAUAUUAAGAAUACUUGUUAUCUCUUUUUUCGAGCUUUACUUUCGCUCUCAUCCUCAACAAAAAAAAAAAAUAUACCCCUAAUAUUGUAACACUUAUGCAAUUCAUCAGCAGGAUCAAACAUAUAUCUCACACAAUAAUUAAAGUUUAUACAGCCAAGUGUGUGACUAUCGUCAGGUUUCAUAUGGUAGGUAGGCUUCAUCAAUAGAAUAAAUAGAUCUAAAAGAGAUACUUACAUCAUGAAGACUUAAGAGUCCAAAUUCCUCUCUAAUGUCUUUAGGAAUUGGAUCAACAAUGACUGGCAAGGCAUGUAAAGCUCUAGAAGAAAUAAAAGAAAUAUAUUUAAUACAUUGUUAGUUAUAAGAUUUGAGAAGAAUUUAUUGAAAACUAUUAAUAGAUGACCACAGUACUAGCAUAAUAUACAUAAUUGCAAACCAAAAACUAGGAGAACCAAUCUCUCUUAGUCUCCUAAUACCAAAAAUACAGAAAUAUAAUUGUACAAAUUAAAAAGAAAAUAAGGGUAAAAAAAAUUAUAAUCUAAUCACACAACGCUCACCCUCAAAUCCAUUAAAUGAAUAUCCAUCUUUCCUACUUGCCAAUAAACUCAAAAAGUCUCUAUGAGAGUCCCUUGCUUAAUACAUCUACCAACUUACAUAAAUAAGGUCAUUACUCAUUAGUUAAAUUUUUCUUGAUUAAGUGUCAGUCUAUCUCAAUAUGCUGCUGCCAAGGAUCCGUGUAUACAGAGUCUCCUAAAUUGGAAGCUAUAUACCAAUUUUGAAAGGAAUGUAAUAAAUAUAUUUGUUGACCAUAACAGCACAUACAUGAUUUACAUUAUAUUUAGAAAUUGUGCAUAACAUCAAGAUAUCAUAAGAUAUUUUCAUGUGUGUGAAGUUUGAGAAUAAUUAACCAAUCAAGUAUUUGAUAAUAGACCGUUCCUAACUGUUCGGACUUAGAAUAAUGGGAAGCUUUCGAGAUUGGAGUUAAGAAAUUAAUUAGGGGCUAUUAGUUGUUAAGUUUGUUAGACUUUCUGCUUUUCUUGCUAUUAACCCUAUGAUUUAUAAAUGGGACUAAGCUCCCUUUAGGAUGAUUAUGAAUUCAUUUUAUGAAAGUUGUAAACUAGAAAAUGCUCUCUAGUGAGGGGAAAGUGCUAUCUUGGGGUAGCCUUUGAGUGCAAGGUUGUCAUCUUCAUUAUAAACCUUCUGUAGCUUAUCUUUCAAUCCUAUAUCUCAUUCAAUCGAUAAUAACAAAAAGUUAUUCAAAAAAUUCUUCUUUUCUCAAUUUUAUUGAUCAAUCUUUAUUUUAGUUGGAAUUAUUCUCUUGUUUAUUCAUUUCUGCCAAGUUUUGGGAAUCAAUAAUCUUAACAACAGUCAUGUCAAAAUACCACUGUUCAAACACGAAUAAAUUAUAAUAUCUUUGUUUUUGUAUGUAAAAUGAUAUGGUAGGCUUCCCGCAUUGGGCAUUUUUCAAAUUAAUCAACAUCCACUUGCAAUGGUUGUCUUUUUUUUUCAUCCACUUGCUAAAUAAGCCUUCCUCAUAUAAUACCUACAAAGCUACAAUAUAGUAGGUUACAAACCUACUAUGCAAGUUUGUCAUAUUUGGAUUUAUUUUUCUAUAUAUACAUGUUGCCUUUGUUGAAGUGCAUUCCAUCCCCUGAACCCUUCAUACGCUCUCUUUGGUAUGUGAAUCACUUGAACCCUUCAUACUCUCUUUGCUAAGUGAACUACUGUUGUUUUUUCUUUCUAUUAUUUAUGCAUAUCUAUAAAUUUGUCCUUCAUUCUGAGAUUUAUCUCCAUAAUUGUGCUCCAUGCUCUAAAUUUGUAAUGAUGCAAGUGGUCCAUUGGAGGAUAUAAAUCAACAAAUUUUGUUAUUUGUAUGUAGUCUUCUAUACAAGAUAUGUAAAAUCCAUGAUUUCUUCUUCUGUAUUUCUGCAUUUGUCUGUUCAACAACUUUAUGCAUGCAAUUUUAUGUCUCUUUUUUGUCUCCAAUCCAUAGGUUUACACGUUUUACUCAUGGGACUCUUGAAGCAACCACACCAGCAACAUGAAACACACCAACAAAAAUACACAAUUAGUCCCUAAGGUUUAAAUUUUAUUUUGAAAGGAAAGAUGGUUAAAGUGUGAAAGAAAUAUUGAAUCUUUUAAUGUUUAUGUAAUCUGUCCAAGUAGUAAAUAUAGUUUAACAAAAAGGUUCUCAUGUUUAUUCAAGAAUUCAGUCUAUCAAUUAUUGAGUAGUGUCUGAAGCAAACACACCAGCAACAUGUUAUAUUAAGUUUAAAUUUUGUAUUUUAAAUUAUAAAAUGCAAUCUAUCUAAACACACAUUUAAAAAAGAAAACUAACAGAUUUUCUGAGCAGUUCUUGCAUUCUAUUCCAGGUUGGUCCAAAAAACUAACAGAUUUUGUAUUUAUAACAUCCAAUAGUCCAAAAAAGUACAUAAACCAUGUAAAAUUGGAAGCAUUUUGCUUGAAUUAUCUCAUACUAUACUGCCAACAUGAACAUACUCCCAUCCAGACAUAAUCUGGAGCUUGUCUGAGCCACAACUUAUCUAAUUAUAUAAUUUUUGUAACAUAAGUCUGAUAUACUUUUCUGAUCAUAUGUAUAUCUGAAUACAUUCUACUGAGUAUAUAUUUCCUUAUACAUAAAUAUUAGGGUAUCUCUCAUGAUAAUGCAUUGUGCAAUUAAAUAUGUGUUUUAGCCUCAUUUUGCCAUCAGAAAUUCAUCCGGGAUCAAAAGGAAUGUUCGUACUUGAUUCAAUGGCGUUCUAAAUGAAAAAUCAAUGUUUUGUUGCGUAAAAAUUACAUUCCCGGGGUUGGUAAUCGAUUACCGGUAUGUGGUAAUCGAUUACCGGUAUGUGGCAAUCGAUUACCACAGUAAAACAUAUACUUAAAGCAUAGCAAGGCAAACAUAUACUUAAAUCGACACAACCAUCGUAUGGGGUACUAAUUAACUUAAUUUAAUCUAAGAUAAUUAUUUAUCUCACUCAAACAUAAUCAUAAACUAUCUAAAAGGUGGGUUCUACAACUAAAGGAACUCACCGCGACUUAUCUAACCACUUUCAACAGCUUAAGCUCCACCUUCUGCUUAAGCCUCUGUCUGCCAAGCUCUUGCUUCUGUCUUCUCCAGUCCCCUAAAUCCAAUUCCUACUUGUUUUUGUCAGCCCAAUAUGCAUAAACAUCACAGAGACCUUGCCUUCACUAGCUUAUCUCCAAACUUUAAGUCUCAAGCUCCUACAUUCUUGCUUCAGCUUAUGCUUAUUCUUCAAUUUCUUUCCAAGCUCUCCUACUUCAAACCAAAUGUUUAAAAUCAGUUUCUUUAAGUGCUCCUAAGCCUCCAGGGAAUCAGAGUGACAUGAAAAGACGAUCCUCAUGUUCCGAACAUCUCACUUACCGGUUUGUAUGGCUAUGUCAAACCCGCAGGGUCCACCCUGCAAAUUCCAGCAUCAGUACCUUAACUUUCACAAUUUAAUUAAAAUACUAAACAAUAUCCGUUUUGAGCAAACGACCACUCAUUGGAAAGCUUAGGGUGUCAGGAUUACAAAUAUAAUUUUUGUUUUGAGGGUUAACCAUUCAAUUGGUUCAGUUUAACAAAAGAGCGGGUAUUGGUACAUAAACAUGACUGAAACUUUCUCAAACUUGUAGGCAGCUUUUCUCCUACUAUACUUAAUGAAAUUUAACAACUCUAGUGUCUAAACUAUAGGAAAUUUUGUCUUCUUUACAUUGGAUUAAGAAUCAUUAACAUAUGACCUAUUUUCAGAGAGUUAUGCUAAUUUUACCACAGGUAUGUUUACACGAAUUUCACACAAACAACUCUUCUUUUAUAUGAACUUGCAAACCAAACAUAUACAAUCCAAUAAUAGCCAAAACCAGUCCAUUUAAACUUAUAAAAUCCCUUUAUUUUCCAUCUUUUAGGGUCUCAGGUUUGGCAUGAAAGAGAAAGAAAGGAAUAAAGAGAGAAGGUUUAAUUCAUCUUACCUCAGUUUCUAGACAUCCAAAGCUUGAUUUUCAUGAGAAUUUCGUACAUGCAAUAGGAGGGUUUGAAGAAAAGAAAUGUGGGGGUUUUUGGUUUGAUUCUAAACAGGAGGGAAAAUGGAGAAUUUGAGCAAAAUAUUACUGGAAAUGGGUUUCUUUGAUGAUGGGUUUAUGAUUUUCAUUCAUGGAUGUGCUUGAUUUUGAGGGAUUGGUGAGGAAGGAAUUUGCAGGUGAUGACCAAGGUGAAGAAGAGAGGAUGGCGUCUGAGAAAAGAAGAGAGAGAUAUAAUGAAAAUUCUGAUUUUCAUUCCGAGAAAUGAUAUUUGAACAUAAAUGACAACUUUUGCAACAACUUUCUUUCUUAUACUCACGUUACUUUUUACUUUAUCUCUCUAUUGCUAUGAUUUUUGUGCCAAUACCACAUUUUUCUUUGUAAAAUAUGGUUGUCAAAUAAGUUGUCACCAAAUUGGUUGUUCAAAUAACACUCCUCUUUCAUUCCUCUUAUUAAUCACAUUUAACCCUUUCCUCUUUUACUAUUUUGCCCCUCCUUUUACUACUAAAACAUAAUUGUUUCUUUUCAUCAAUAUUUCUCCAAUUUACUAUAUAAAAUUUUAUCUCAUCCUUUAUUUGGAGUCUCUAAUUCACACCAUUAUUAUUAAUGAGAGCUGGAUUAUUACAAUUGUCUUGGUAGUUUGAACUCAAUGUUGAUUUAUUGACUUUGAAAUCAACAACGAUAUAAAUCGGUGUGUUAAUCAAUAUGGUUGUAUUGCUCUUAUUUAAUUUCUGAAAUUUGUUUUUAUGUUUUUUGUGUCUCGCUCGAUAUUUAUGAAAAUUCUUUAAUGUUGUCAUUAUGUUUAUGUUUUUUCUUUUAUAUUAGAUAAUUUGAGGCUCAUAUUGGUUCUUUCAUUUAUAAAAUAUUGUUGGUAUCCACCCGUGCGUGCGUCACGCACGGGCACUAGACUAGUUCUUUCCAUACUGCAAAUGGUUUCUAACCCUAACCUAGAAAUUUUUCCACAAAAGAAUAAUUUUACAAAUAAGAUUGUGACACGCAAGAAUUUGGAAGCACAAACCUUGCAAUGAUGUCCCGAAGGAAUGUUGGGUUCAAACCCCCUUUUGAAGGGUAGAUACAAUAUGGCCUCUCUUUUGCGCAAAGGGAUAAAUCUUUCCCAUCUUCAAGCACAUCAAUAUUAAAUUCUCUUAUCUCGUAGUGACCUUUAGCAGGCAUAGUCUUAACCUACUUCAAAAAGCAAAAAUUAUGUACAUUCUUACGAAAUUCUUGGAUUAAAACAGAAUAUUCACAUAUAAGAUGCGGGGGAAAAGAGGUUUAUCGUAGUGCAAUCAUGAAAGUAUGACAGAAGCAAAGCAAACUCAAAUACUCAAUCAUACAAAUAUAAUAAGAAUUUCAACCAUCUGACGAACUUAGAAUACCUUCAAAAUAUUUUACAAGGAGAGAAUGACUAAUAGAUUAACAUAAUUUCUUAUUAGGGACCUUAACGUUUAAGGAUGCCAAACUUAGGUAUUUUGAGAUAACUUCCUAUAGAAUAUGAUUAGCUAGUACCUUAUCCGUUAACUUUGGGACGAAAACCCUAACUUUAGGAUGUUUCCUAGAGUUAACUUUACAAUGUGUAGUGACUCUUGUAUUUAUAAUACUAUGUGGGCCGAGCCCAUGUGCUCAAGAUUACAUCCUAAUGACUCUUAUUAUAAAAAUUUUAAACGGUGUGAUUAAAUAAAAUAUUGUAGAACAUUAACCCGUUGCUGAAAAUCAAAGGAUCUCAACUACAGAAUUUUAGUUACGGGCCUAAACUUAUAUAUAUGAAAGAAAAAAGAUAUAUAAUGAUUUUCUAUAUUGGAAAAACACCCAAGUCCCGCAUUGCGACAUAGCCUAAAUAGAGCUUAUCAAGCAAGGGUAAUCCUCGGAUUAAAACUAACUUUGUGGGGUUGAAUUAGGGGAAGGUCCUUAUACUAAUAACACUAUUCUUUACUAUUAAAAACAAAGACUUCUUCUUGGCAGUAUUUGAUUUGUAUGUCAUUUUAAAUUUAAUUCCACUAUAAGCCCUUGCAAGGGUUGGUAGCGAGAAUUGCAGCAUGCCUUGACCUAGAACAACAUCCCCUCCCGAAAGUCUUCCAUUAAACACAAUAAGUAAACAAUCUAUCAUUUAAACAUUAUUUGCAGUCAAGAGAUAUCACUCACUCACAAUUACUAAAGCAUGUUUGAAGUUUGAACAUAUACUAGUGGUGUGAAAUUUGCUUUAGAUAUUUUGCCCUUGAGAGAAUUUGGGAUCCCCCAACCUUCUCCUCUUUAACAAAGGAAGCAAAACACCGCCCUUAAACUUGGGUUUUCAGAGUGAUUGCUCUGCAGUGCCUUGUACAAUUCAACAGCCAAUAUACCUAAGAAUACUGAACUAAUUGAGCCAACUAAUAAAAAUAUCAAGGCUCCCCAAGCAAGUAUUUUAUUUGGGGUAUGCAACUAUACAUGGCUCAAACUCGGCCUCACAUUAAGAAUGCAAUGCAGUUGCUUACUUCACAUAGUUCAUUUAUGUCGAAGGCCUAUCAUUUGCCUUCAAUACUCAUAUUUAGGCGAACAUCUAAGAACUUCAGGAAAAAUAAAUUCAUCUACAUUGAAAACUUGCAGUACAGCAUAAAAAUGGGUUAGGGAAGACAAGUAAAAAAAAAAACUCACCUUGCCACUCACACAUGCUAUGUCUCUCACUUGAUACUUGUUCGCAAUACUAUUUAGGAAACCUUUAAAAGUAAAACUUGUGCCACGGAAAAAUCUCUUUAAAUGCAAAUAAACUGUCUUUGUUUUCCCAACUUUGUCGGUUACCUAGAAGUAUAUUACUCGCAACCUCAUUCAAGUGAGAGAAAAAAAGUGUAGGAGAGUGCAUAUGCCAAUAGAGAAGGAUAAAAACUUGCAUAAAUCUGGUUAACAAAUGAUACACAGGAUAGUCACCUUGAAGAUAAGACUUCUCCAACAAACAUCAAAUAUUGCCCAUCAUAAAUGUUCCCAUGUGCAUUCUGUAGAUUAGCAUAUGAUCGUGGAAAAUGGUGCAGCAAUUUCCGUAACUACAUGUAAAGAAUCGGAUUAAUGUCGAAUCCAAUCCAUCUUUAAAAUCUGAAAAUCCAAAGAACUACUACACAUAUUCCAAAAGGCGGCAGUUUUUGGUACCCACCGUGUGAAACCCACAGUUAUCUAGUUGCUCACGUUGCUUCUUAGUUAAUCCAGGUAAGCAAUUGACAGAUGUGUCGAGAGAUAACUCAUUAAGUGUAAGGUUUGACUGUGACUGCAGCCCCACUUUCUUUUGAGAAUCUUCCCUAGUAAAUCCAAUUUUUCCUCAUAUAUUGAAGACACUGAUUGAGGUGUUAAAGGACAAGGAAAAGAAUCAUCUUUUCGUAAUGGUGAAGAUGUUAAACUAGAAUCGUAUAAAUGUUGUUCAAAAUCUUUGGUUUCCGAAAUGAUAUUUGUUUCAGAAUAUGCUGUGGUCCCAUCAUACAAACCCACUUGAGGAGGACUACCCAAAGUAAUUGAUGGAAAUAUCCUACACAUCAAGGAGAUGUCGAAAUCAUCUACUGCAUCUUUCCGAUUCAUUUUAGAUUUCAUUUCACCGCUUCCAUUUCCAAUUAGAUCAGGAAUGUUAUGAUCCAUAAGAGCAAAUACCUGCAAGUAAAAUGAAUUUCAAUCAAUGUUACAUUUAAUACAGGCAGUCAUAAGCAUUUAAUUAAUAAUAUCAAAACAUUUCUUAUCAGCUGAAACAUUCAAAGCGAUCUACUAUAAAAAGUAAUGACCAAAUGGCAUCUAUCAAUAUUAUAUACAAGAUUGAUAAAAGAAUGUGAAGAGAAUAGGCAUGUGAAUUUCCAGUGACGGGUUAGGCAAUAACACAUUUGAUACAUGUAUCUCUCUGCCUGUAAGAGUUAUCCAGCCACACCCACCAUAAAUUCCUCCAUACAUCACAAUCUCAAUUGAGAAGCACAACCAAAUCAGUCUGCUAUAAGCUGCAAUGGACCCAAACUUGCUAUAUAUACUCAAUUUUAACCAUUGAAUCACAGCUCCUUACUAUUGUAUUGGAUCUUUAAGUCAAGCACGAUAAGAGUAUCUACGCAGAUUAGAACGCAAUCCCGGUCUAAGCUAGAAUACUUACUCACAAACCAGGUAGAAUAGAACAAACCACCCAACAAAUUAAAUCUGACAUUAAUAUAGAGGUAGGUGUUGUCUUUCUUCAUGUAUUCAUACAAGAAUUUGAGUAUAGAACAACAAAACAAAUGCCUUUUCCCAUUGAAUGGGGUCAACUAUAUUGCUCGACAACAACAACAUCAUAGUGUCCUAUUGUAAAUCACAAACAAUGAAAAAUCUUCCAUUUAAGUAUUAACAAAAGGAAAGUAUCGUCUAAGGAUAAGUUAAGCAAGUGUUCGAAGUUUGGACGUAUCAGUUUUCUAUCAUUGUAAGUAAGUAUUCCUCAAUUUCAUCAGUCCCCCUCAAAAUCCUAUGUAUAAGAUAUUCUUCUAUUUCAUCAUCAUUUAGUACUAUAGCGCCACUGUCAUUUAAUCCUAUCCUAGCGUAGCACUUGUAUCCUAUUUACAACUUUGAAAUAUAACAGAAAUGUUUUCUAUAAAUCACUGGAAAGUAGAAAGUCAAAAACAAAAAGAAAAACUGAAAUCACUUCAUCAUAUACAACAAAAAGCUCCACGCAAAUUAACAGAUACCAUUCUACAAAAGCAUUGAUCUACCUUCUUACGCAACUUUACAGUGCUCUUUACGCCGUGCUGGUCUAUUUCAACAACCUUCUGGUCUGUAAAUUUAUGCUUCAUCCGGUAACACAUUUUCGAAAACUUAAAAGGGAGAAAAUUACAACACCUGAAAUGAAACAAGCAACAAAAAUCAAGCCCGUGUCUUUGUCCUUAAUUUUCACCAUCCUUACAUACACUUAUACCUAUAUAUAAAGGAGAUACAUAGUUUUGGUGUAGUAUUUUUUCUUCCAAUUAUACCAUUCAUCAAAACUAUUAUGUUGAACCAUUUUAUCCUUUUUACAAUAUUACUUAAAAUUUUAAUUGAAAAAAGGUAGUUACAUCUCAUUACAAUAGGAACAAAAUCUUUUCAAAAUAAAAGGAAGAACCCACAUUGUAAAAAAAAAACUCGGUAUCGGGUCUAAGAGCCAACUAAUCUGGGAGACUAAUCCCACCAUCCACUAGCAGGGGUCUGGUUAAAGCCAGAGCAAAGCCCUAUAUGAACUAGUUUGAACCUGAGACCUCAAGAGGAGCACAGUCCGAGGUUCAAGUCUACACCACCAGGUCAACCCCGGAGGUUCAUAGGGAACUUAUUUCGAUCUUAUCUACCAAAAUUAUUUGAGUGCGGUAUAUGCUAAAAAAUUUAAGCAUGUUAGUGACCGUUUUUGCGCCAGUGAUAAUUAGGCAAAGAAUGAUGAAAUGAGAAGAAUAUGCAAUAUUAUACCUCAUUUUAGUGCUGAAAGGGUUUGAAUAACCAGUCUUCCCUUGAAAGAGUAUAACAGUUCUUGCAACUCAUGCACUGAAAAGACUGAAGAAUCACCUCAGGAAAUAGAACAUCAAUGAAAUGAAGAUGCAAAAACAGCAUUUUGUUCAAAUUCAGCAGCAUAAUUUAACCAUUGCAUGAAAAUAAUAUAAUCUAGGUCAGUUGAUAAUAAUAAGGUUGGUUGAGAAAUUACCAUUGUAAUGUUGUUGGCGUUGGAAGUGCGACGGCGGAGAGAUGGGUGUCGGACGUGGCGGUGGAAGGUGGCGGUGACGAUCGGACUGUGAGAGACGAAGAGAGUGUGGUUCUUGUUAUUCGAAGCUACAAGGUGGGAAAAUGUAAAGAGAAUUACUGCUAACACAUUUGAUAAGGUUGUGCCACACGAGUACUUUACCAAAAUGUCUUUUGCCGAAUUUUUAGUAAACCGGCGAUUUUUAGUAAACCGGCGGCAGUUAACUACCGAGGAUAUCCUCCACAGUUAACUGCCGAUGCGAAUUGAACAUAACAGAAGCAGAAACUCAGUUUUCUGAGUAUUGCUUCAUUCUUCAAAUAUUUUCCAAACCAACUUCUUUUCCAAUUUCGAAUUUUCAGCAAAAUCAAGUGCAUCAUCUCCAUUUAAUCACAAGUAAGUAUCUUGAUUAAUUUGUAAUCAUAAUGUUAGUUUGGGUAGGGUUUUUUUUUUUAAAAAAAUGGUAGUUUUGAUGUGGUUAGGGUUGAUAUAGGAAUUGAAUUUUUUAUGAGUGCAUGUAGUUUAUAAUUUCUUCAAAAAAAAAUGUAGUUUAUAAUUGAAUGUAGUUGCUUUAAUUGAUGAUUAAAUGAUGUUAGAGUAUAAUGUGGUUUUGAAUGGUGGCAAAAGAACACAUUUUGAGUAUGUUUGAUACUUUGCACACAAAGUGUUUGAUAAAAUGUGUCAAUGACAAUUUUCUUGAUUAUUUGGUUAGUUUAGGCUAUGGAUAUGAUUUUGAUUGUAAUUCGAAAAAGUGUAUAUUGAAUUAGGUUGAAUGCAUAUUGAAAAAGUGUAUAUUGAAUUAGGUUGAAUGUGUAUAUUGAAUUAUGUUUAGUUUAGGUUGAAUGUGUAUGAUAAUGCAUUUGAUUAUUUACGUUUUAAUGUAAAUGAUAGUGUGUAUGAUAAUGUUUAAGUUCAAUCAAUGUGUUUAUUUUGGUCAUGUGGUUGAAUGUGAAAGUGGUUAUGUUUAGGUUAUGUUUAGGUUGAAUGUGAAAGUUUAGGUUAUGUUUAGGUUUAGUGUUUUUGAUAAAGUGGUUGAAUGUAUAAGUUGAAUAAUGUUUAGCUUCAAUGUGUUUAUUUUAGUCAUGUGGUUGAAUGUGAAAGUGGUUAUGUUUAGGUUGAAUGUGAAAGUUUAGGUUAUGUUUAGGUUUAGUGUUUUUGAUAAAGUGGUUGAAUGUAUAAGUUGAAUGAUGUUAAUUUUAUUAUUUUUUGUGUAGAUAUGGCUGAUUAGGACCUCAUUGAUUCAUCUAAGAUGAUUGGUGGUAGGCGUGCGAUGACUCGGAGCCACCGGAGGGAGAGGCAGAGCGGCCACAUCCCAAAGAGGGGUAGAGGUCGGAGGGGAGAUGGUUCAGGGAGCUCUCAGGCUACACAGCCUGAGGAGUCACAGGUUGUUGACCCGUCACAGCUUGUUGACCAGUCUGGGGUGGAGUACCUGAAUUAUCAGGAUCAAGUACACCACAAUGUGACUGAGGUGGAUAUGACCAGGAUCAUAUACCACAACAGCAGCAUGUAGGAGACGAUGAUGACAUUGCAGCAGCUGCUGCACCGGAGGUGUUACCUGUGGACCCUCCCUUUCCUGGUGGACCGACAGACUUAUCUUUGCUCCACUCUUAUGCCAGUCAUGUGGCGUUGCCACUUUGGUAUAAUUCAGAUAAUGUAAGUGUAAUUUUUUUAAAUGUUUUUUCUUUAUGUUUAAUUAUUUUCUUUAAAUGUGUGUUUGUUUAAUUAUUAUAUCCACUUUUAUAUGUUUUUUUUAAUUCUUUUUCUUUAUGUUUAAUUAUUUUCUUUAAAUGUGUGUUUGUUUAAUUAUUAUAUCCACUUUUAUAUGUGUUUUUUUUAAUUCUAUUUUUUAUGUUUAAUUGUUUUUUUAUAUGUGUGUUUGUUUAAACUAUAUUUAUUUUUCUAUUAUUUCAGGUUCGUAAGCUCCGUGUGGUUAAACCGAUUAAUCAUGCGGCUAAGAUUCUCACUCUUGGACGCCCAAACGGGAAUGAGAAUUGGUUUUGGGAUCCGCUUAGGCAGAGCGGGUUACAUGACUUGGUUUACUUGGGGUACUUCAGCGUGCCUCAUGCCCUGCUGAUGACUUUAUGCGAGAGGUGGCAUCCUGAGACCAACACCUUUCACAUGCCCAUGGGGGAGAUGACUGUGACAUUGGAUGAUGUCGCUUGUCUCACGCAUCUUCCGAUUGAGGGGCGGAUGUUGAGUCAUGGCAAGAAGAUGCCGAAAAAUGAGGGAGCGGCACUACUUAUGAGGCAUCUGGGUGUGUCGCAGCAGGAGGCGGAAAAGAUUUGCGGGCAGGAGUACGGUGGGUACAUUAGCUACCCGAGGCUGAGGGACUUUUAUACCACCUACCUUGGUAGGGCCAACUUAUUGGCUGGUACGGAGGAUCCAGAUGAGCUUGAGGAGCUGGCGAGGGUUAGGACUUACUGCGUCCGGUGUUACCUUCUCUACUUGGUCGGAUGCUUGUUGUUUGGCGAUAGAAGCAACAAGCGCAUCAAGUUGGUAUAUCUGACGACCAUGGAGGACGGCUACGCAAGGAUGCAUAAUUAUUCCUGGGGAGGGAUGACACUCGCUUACCUAUACGGCGAGUUAGCUGAUGUGUGUAGGCCUGGAGACAAAGCUCUUGGGGGGAGCGUGACACUGCUCACUGUAAGAAAACUUAUAUUUUAUUUUUUUGUUAACUUUAUUUCUUUGUUAAAUUUUAUUUUUUUUUGUUAUAUUUUCCGUGUGUAAUCAUUUAUAAAUGUUAUUUGUUUGGUUUGUGCAGACAUGGUUUUUGGCGCAUUUUCCUGGGUUUUAUAGUGUUGAUCCAACACUGACUACAUGGAAAACUAUCCGGUUGCAGCGAGGUGGAAGCUCCAGAAGGGUCAUGGGGAGGGGAUCAUGUAUCGGUCACUGCUUGAUCGUAUACAGUUAGAUGAUGUAUGCUGGAGGUCGUACGAGGAGCACAGAGAGAUCCAGGACUUCGAGGAGGUUUUCUGGUAUUCUGGCUGGAUUAUGUGUGGUGUCCGUAGGGUGUACCGUCACUUUCCCGAGAGGGUUUUGAGGCAGUACAGAUACGUGCAGACCAUCCCCAGACAUCCCACGGAUGUUGUAGAGCUCCCACUCCCUUACAUUGUGCAGGCGUUCGUCGACUUCCGCACUCACACGCUUAAGGCGGACGAUUGGGGUGAGCAGGCAGGAGAGCAUACAUGGCGGAUGGCUGAUGGCUAUAUGCUAUGGUACACUAGGGUGUCUCACCCUCAGAUUUUGCCACCUCUCCCUGGAGAUCUUCCGAGGCCUGCAAAUGAAGAGCAUAUCAUUGCAGACCAGUUGGAGCGGUAAGAGGCGAGAAGCUCGUCUGACACCUACGACAUGGUUAGCGGCGCUGAUGCACAGUUGGGCCAGGAGGUCAUGAGCAUGACCCCUCAGCAGUGGUUUCAGUCCAUGACGCAUAUGAGGGAGCAGAUCGCGCCGAUCUUGACCAAGAUGCAAGGCCAGAGGCCGAGGAGGAGGCACCAUCAGCACGACCAGGACCAGUAGUAGGAUUUUUUUUUUGUUAGGACUUGUUUUUUAGUUUUUCAGGACAUUGAUUUGUGUUAUCUCGAUUUUGGGGUAUCAAGUCAUUAAUUAGGCUUGAACCUUUCAAUCUUUGAUAUUCUCUAUUUUUUCUUGGGAAGGGUAAAAUUGAGAAAACCCUUAGAAACUCUAAGUUCGGGGGUCGUUUUCGUUACGGGAAGGUAUUUGGCACCCGUAACGACUAUAGUAUUCUAUAGGAACCGCUUUCCUAGCUUUAUGUCUACGCUUUACUUUUAUGCUUAUUUAUUGAAAAGAAAGUUUAUUUAGUUUAAGAAUGGAGGGAGGAAAUGUUUGAGAUUUUAUUUUAUUGGACUUGGAGAGGUUUUGACCUCUUGCCUACAUACCCUUUUUAGGGAUCAAAAUUCCAUGUAGUUCUCUUCCAAAAGUAUUUUUGGUGUGUUUCAAUUGAUUUUAGUUUUUGAAAAUGGUUUUGAAGAAGAGAAAGAGGCCGUAAAGGCAUGAGAGGAAAAGAUAGUGAAUUGUUGGUUCAAUUAUUAAAAUGUCUAAGUAGAAAUUAAGAUUCAUUUGAAUUUGAUUAAGAAAAUAAAGGAAAAUACAAUGGAGUUUUGACUAAAAGGUUUAUUAGGAAAGAUUUGAGUUAUGGAGUUAUUUUCGGGAAAAUGAUAUUUUUUCUAAGUAUUGCGUUUCCUAAACAUACAUCUAAGCGGUAAACAUACAACGUGUGUGCGUGUCGGUGCUUGUGUCGGUGUACAUCAUUAUAGAGAGUCCAUUGUCCUUUACACUUUGCCCUAGUUUACAUGCUAUGGUCUUGCAAGAAACUAAAAGGAAAUUAAACUACCUAGAAUUAUUACAUGUCCACUUAACAUAAAAAUGAAUAGGAAUGAAAUGAUGAAAUGCUAUAAAAUGGAUGAGACAUAGAACAAAAAAUGGUUAGUAAAAUAAGGCAUGAAAAUAUGGCAAAGAGAGCAAACAAAGGAAUAUAUGGUAAACGGUAAAAAAUGACGACAAUAACCACAAUACAAAGAGGAAUGCAAUACUUGCAAGGCAAGAAAUUAACAAAUCAUGUUGAAAACAGCAAAACACACACACAAACAGUGGCAUUCUUAUCAUGAAAUUGCACAUUGAACGUUCAUAUCAUAGAUCAAGAUAUCACGAACGGAAAAAACGAGAAAUUGCAUGAAAUUCAACUAAAGAAAAGAAAAUAAUCAAGAAAGCAACACAUAUAUUUUUAUCAAUUUUAUAACAUGUAAAAAAAUCACAAAAAUGUCAAAAAUGUAUCAAGAAACACAUAGAAAUUUUUAGGAAUUUUUACGAGAAAAUUAGAACGAACAGUGGUUCAAACAGCAAGAAAACAUGGUGUGAAUAGCAAGAAAAUAGCAAAAACGCAGCAAAGCCCAAGCCCAAGCCUAAGAGGCCCGGACGCACAGGAACCACAGGAUUGAUCCAAGGGAUCAAACCCUAGAUCAAACGGCCAGGAAUGAAGGGAAUUGGACCGGUCUUGGACCAGUCCGAUUCACUGGCCUAUAAAAGGAGGGGAGCGCCGGUUCUUUCAUUUGCUAUUGCUCUCUCUAAUUUCUCACUUCUCUCAUUUCUCUCUAACUUCCUCCGCCGGAUUCAUGGAUGAACGGCCGGGGAAGAUGAAGAUCUGGCCGGAACCUUCAUAGGUCCGCCGGAAUCUUCAUCUUCUCCGGUGAGAUCUCCAGUUUCCGGCAACCUCUAACCUCACCAGAACUUCAAGAUUUUUACGUCUUUCUAUUCGCCUUUAAACCCUAAACACAAAUCUAACACUGAUUUUCACAAACAAGGCUUGAAACAACGUAGAUCUAGAAUUUUCAUACGGUUUUGAAAAUUAUUUAGUUUUUUCAACUUUUUUUGAAUGAAACCGUUCAAACUCCUACAGAUCUACAUAGUUUCGUCUUUGUUGCUGUUCUUGAGAAAAAAAGAUGAAGUUUGAGUUUUACCUGAGUCUUUUAUUGGAGAUUUUGCGAGAUUCUUCAGAAAAACUUGAUUCUUGGUUCUGCUUUGUUGAUUUUGCUUGGGAACCGAAAAUAAAUCGGUGUCUUCACCGGUUCACUUUCUUCAUCUUCUUCGCCGGUUUGAAACUCUCUUCCUUUUCUUCUCUGUGAUCGGUGCUGGAGUUUCUCACCUUGAAUUGCAGAGAUUUCAAUUCAAUGAUGAAGAUUCAUCCAUGGAUCCCUGAGAAUUGAUGCAAUUUCAUUGAAUUUAUUGAUGAAGUUUGGUUCUGGAAGUUAGGGUUUGUGAAUUGUUCUUGGUGAUUUUUCUGUUUUGAUCCUAACUGCCAAGAGAGAGAAUCUUUCACGUGUUUGUGAGUUGGCACUGAUUGAAUGGGUCUCUGUGGAUUUCUCUGACACUGUGCACUAUUUAUAAGCUGCCACUUGUACUUGAGAUCCAAUGAAAUGGUGACACCUGGACUUGUAUGGCUCGGCCUUGGACUUGUUGUGACCUAGGGACCUUUAUGCAAAAAAGUAAAAUUGAGGACUAAACUGCAAUUAAUAAUAAUGGACUAAAAUGCAAUUUUUUAAAAAGUUUUGGACUAAAGUGCAAUUUUGGAAACUUGCUUAAGGGACCAGAAUGCAAUUAAAAAUAAAAUGGAAUUAAAAUUGGUAAAUUGGAAAAAAAAAAAAAAGUAAAGUGAAACCUAAAAUAAAACCAGCAAAAGGACUAAAACGAACCAAUUACAACAAUGAGGUAUUUUAAAAUACCUCUCUGUCGAAAUUUGGACAGGAAAAGACUAAAAUGCCCCUAGGGACUAAACAGACUCAGACGCAAUUUUGAAAUGGUUUUUAAACAAAGACUCAACAGUGAUUUGUAAAACAAGUUGAAAAGACUCAGAGACAAACACAAGGACAAAAAUGGGUUCCACUGCAGGAAAUGACCAAAAUACCCUUUUUGUAUGAUUUUUGAAAUAACAUGCAAGAAAAGCAAUGCAAUGAUUCAGAGAGUUUUCAAAUGAUUUGUAAUGUAAGAAAGACACUUUGGAUGAUCUUAUGCAAGAAAAACACAGGCAAAAUUAUGAUUUGCAAAUACCUUGAGACAGAGACAGUAAAAUAUACAUAUGAAAAUAAAGUGAAGAUUCAAAGUAAAACAAUAGUAAAUUGACAAUUAUCAGUGGUAGAAAAGAAAUUUGAACGAGUAUUUUUAGGUCCAAAAUCAGGGUAUAACAAUUUGUAUAUUUGUACUUUGAUGACAUUAUUUUUAAUUUCAUGAGAUUUUUUUACUUUGUUUAAUGUACAAAAAUAUCGGUUUAAUUAAGUUGUGCAUUUGCGCCAAUAUUUUUUUUGUUAUUUGAACCGUUAUGAUGAAUUUUAAACGUUUGUGUAAUUUGAACCAAAUGUCGGUUUGAUUUAAUUAUGGACAAUUGUAAAAGAUAUUGUAUUUAUCUUGUUUAUGUCCGAGUUUCAAUGUUGUAUGAAUUAUUUUGCCUUUCGAAAUGCUCUGAUUUAAUUACAGGUAAAAACUGGCCGAAAAAAAGCUUGGAAAUGUUUUAGAAUGAUGCAGAGCUCACUGCCCAGAUUUUCUCGGCAGUUAACUACCGAGGUUUUCCUUGGCAGUUAAGUUUUGCUUCGGAAGUUAACUACCGAAGUUUUAGAAAUCCGUCUGCAGUUAACUGCCGAGGAAAACCUCGGGAGUUAACUGCCGAGGAUCUUCUGCUACAAAUCUGGCAGAAUCUCCUCUUAUCCAUUAUUCAUCUCAUCUUCCAAAUAAUUUCUUCAAAUUUCUCUCAAAAUCUCUCUAAAAAACACAACCAAAUCCAACCAAAUUUAUUCAACAAAAUCACAAGUAAGUAAUUAUAAUGUUAUUAACUUACAUUUUAGUUGUUAUAAAUGUUUUUAUUUUUUAGUUUUUGAAUACAUUUAUUAUUUUUUAGUUUUUGAGUAGAUUUACAUGUUAUAAUUAAUUUUUAGGGUAGAUGUUAGUUGAUUAAUGUUGUUAAAAUAUUUGCAUGAUGUUUAUGUUAUACGAUUAAUUUUUUUAUUUUAGUAAGAGUAUAUGAUUUAUAAUUUUAGGGUUAUUUUUAUAAAUUUUAGAGUCUAUGUUUAAUGGGCACAUCAAGUGUUUGAUGAAAUGUUUAAAUGAGUUUUUCAUUGAUUGUUUUUAAUUUCUUAUUGUGUAAAUUUAAAACAAUGGUCGGGUGGAUCGACAUUCAUGCGCAAUUCAACGGCGGAGAACCUCAGAGGUUGAAGGUUCGGUGCCUUGGUGUAACGUUAAGAGGUCUCAAGGAUGAACUGACUGGAUUCAACCAAUGAGUCAACCCUAGAGACACAAGGAUGGUGGAACACGUUUGGUAUAAACGUCCAACGCUCGACGAGGGGAAGUAUCAUUCACUUGGGUGGAAUUAACGAACGACGAAAACGUGACGAGCAUGUUUUGGGAGCACAUCAUGUUUCAGUAGAUCGAUAUGCGGGUGAAGUUGCUUAGAUCAACUGAAGAUAUCAUCAAAAGUUUGAUUCCGCCAGAAGAUUGUCAUUAGUUAGAGUAAGAUGCAUUCCAACUACAACAAUUGUCUUCCUUUGAAUGGGGUAAUUCAAACUUGUCAAACAACAGGACUCGAGCAUUUCGCAAGCACUUCAUGUUUCUCCUUUGAAAAUAUUAAACUCUUGUUAUGCUGGUUUAGAUGAAGGUAUUAAGUGUGAAGGAUUGAACCUCAAUUCGGUGGCACUUGAAUACCAUCAUCUAAAGCAAGCCUAACAAAAAUUUAUUCUUUUCAAAGGGAAAACAUGAAGUGUUUGACGAAAUGUUUGAGUCUUGUUGUUUGACAGGUUUGAAUCUAUCUCAUUCAAAGGUAACACAAUUGUUGGAGUUGGAAUGCACAUUUCAACUGCAACAAUUGUCUUACUCUGGAUGAGGCAAUUCAAACUUGUUAAUCGGCAGAACUCCAGCAUUCGAUGAGCAUCUUGAACAAUGGUAUUCAAGUGUCAAGGAAUGCAGCUCAUUCUUUUGACACUUGAAUACCAGCGUUCAAGAUGCUGAUCGAAUACUGGUGUCCUGCUGCUUAGCAAGUUUGAAUUUGCCUCAUUCAGUGGUACGAUGAUUGUUGCAGUUGGAAGGUAAAUUUCGGAAUGUAAUGUAAUGUGUAAUGCAAUGUAAUGUGAUACAUAUAUUUUGUUUUGAAUGAAACAAUAAUUAUCUUAUUUAUUCACUUUUCAAAUUUAUUUAUUCCAAAUGCGAUUUUAUUCUAAGUACCAUAAUGUCAAACAAAAUGUGCGCGACACAAAAAUAAAACAUAAAAAAAUCCAAAACAAAUAGGCAUUAAAAGCCAUUACAUUCAUUCUUCCUCGUCACACAAAUCAAUCGGGUUGCCCGCUACGUCCCUUCGGUACCUUGUUUUGGUUGAGGACCGAAAUAGCAUGUCCUCCCGCUCCUCCUCAACCUCGAGUGAUUGUACACCGGCACCUUCGAACCCUUCUUUUUUUCGGAAUCAUCGCAAACAAUUCCGUGCCACGUCAUAGGUGAUUUUUCUUUGUUCUUCUCAUCACCCUGAACGUUACCCUGAUUCUGAUUCUGAGACAUAUCUACAUUAAAAAAAAAUGGCGAUCAAAACCUAACAAUUCAAUAAAAGUUCUCUAACAAUUCUAAUCAUUCUAACCUAAACUAUCCUAACAUAUCAUAAAAUCAACAAAUCAAUAUAAUCGAACCUAUAUAAUCGAAAUUUAACAAAAAAUAACAAAUAAUUCGACCACAAAGCAACAAUGCAAUAGGAUUCAAAAAACUUACUUGUUUUUGUGAUUGAAAUUGGCUUGGAAUGACUUCAAAUGACUCAAAAUCGCACCUUGGAUAAUAUAAACGCAACAAUAGAGUUUUGGAAACUCCUAUGUUGUUCUGUACUAAAUGUCAAUGUAAUAUUUACAAAUGACAUGAAUUAAUUUUAAUAAUUUUUAAAUUAUUAACGAUAAUUCAUUUUGGUUAUGGUAAUAGCAUUAUAGGCUUAGAAUUUGCUUAUAGGUAAAGGCUAAUUAUACGUGAAAUCAAGCAUUGAAUUCUAACUUUUUUUCUUUUAAAAAAACAAUGAAUUAUGCUAAUCUUUUUGUCCUUUCUGUUUAUGAAUCCAUACAAUUGUGCUAAUUUUUUUUCUUCCGCGAAUUGAGGCAUAUAUUUCCACUAAUGUUAAGGCAAAGAAAACAUAUCAAUGAUUUCUAAAUAAGUUUUUGAUUUCUUUUUCAAUGCAUCCUUAGUAGUUAAGGCAAAUAAAUAUUCCUUAAAAAAAAAUUAUUGUGAGUAUCAAAUAUCGUGGCGUCAAAUUAUAAACUCGAACACUAAAAAAUUUAAAAAAUGUAGCAACAAAUUUAUAAAUUGUUGUUUUGUUUUUUUGAAGAGAAGACAUUAAUGGAAUAUAUUUCUCAUUAGUGAAAUCAUAGUAGCAUAUAUUAUGUAAUCCUAUGAAAGUUAGUUACAACAAACUAACUUGAUAACUUGUGAAGCAAGCUAUCCAUAUAACUAACUAAUAGUUUCCUUUAUUUCUUCAUUAUGCAAUACACAUCAUAUAUAUAUAUAUAUAUAUAUAUAUAUAUAUAUAUAUAUAUAUAUAUAUAUCAUAAUCCUCCUCUAUCUUCCUCGCUUCUCUUUUCUCAAACUUUAAAAGUUCAAAACUCAUACUCCUAAAACUCUUCUCAAAUCUAUGGUUUUCCAUCAAAAUCACCUACAAAUCAUCACAUUUCACAAGAUUUGAAGUAAUAAGCAAAAUAUAAGUUCUCGUUAUAGUUUUUUUUCUUCUUCAUAUUGGUAUCCGGAUUUUGUAAUUCGGAUGUAUGUUGUAUCUCAAUUUUACAAUUCGGGUUCUAUGCAGGUUAUGUUUUCUAAUUUCCAUAUUUCUUUGUUGUACUUGGGUUUUAUGUUGUAUUGAGUUAUAAUUGCUUUAGUUUUCCCUUUCUUUUAGUUAUAAGGAUGGAGGGAAACCACAAAUAAAAACAAUAAAUAAUUGCAGUGAAACUAAUAAAAAAAAUUUGUUUUUAUGAAGCUAAACUAACCUACCGAAAUUAGCACCGAUGAGAAUCGAACUUGAGAUUUUGAGAAAAGCACAUUCCAAGAUUAGAAGUCAACACCACUAUGCCAACUCAAGUAGACUACAUAAAAAAUUCUCUUAGUUGGAUCAUUACAAAUGAUCAUGACUCAUUGAUUGAAUAAUUACAUCUUGUAGCGUAGUAAAGUCGAUUUUAUAAUCAUCUAUUUACAUACAACAAUUAAACGACAAAAGAGUCAUUACAAAUCGACUUUAUAAUCUUCUCUUUACAUACAACAAUUAAACGACAACAAAGCAUCCGACUACGCAUCAAGGGAUCAUAGUGAUUUCAGGUUGAAGGGUGGUAUACACCAUUAUCACUUUGGAAAUAUCUUAUGGCACUUACAUAACAAAAAGCAGAAUCCAAUAUAAAUAAUUGAGUUCUUCAGAAACUAUAUAAUAAAUCUUUAUAAUUUUAAUUUUAUAACAUAAGAUCAAUUUUUAUGCAAUUUAGUUCUCAAAUGAAGCACAAAUGUUGAAUUUUUCUAGAAUUCAUAUGAAAUAAAGAAACACACUAAUAGAAUAUGAUUCACACAAUAACGAUGAAAUACAUUAAUAAGAAUGUAUCUUAAAGGCUUUGAUUAAUGCAAUUUUAAUAGUAUAUUCUUUAAUCAUCGAUACAAAAUUAAAACUUAUCUACAUGUUAAAAUGGAUCAAGAAGAAUUGCAUACCGUUUAAAUUGGUGAGAGCUUCCUAUGAUAACAUGUUAUGAAUUUUUUUUAAUAGAACAAGAGAAAACAAGUAAAGGAGAAGAUAAUUUCUAUUAUUCCUAUAAAUGUACAUUUAUGUUACAUUCAAGCUCUAUUUAUAGAGAAAUAUAAUGAUAUUAUAUUAGCCAAUAAUAUGACCAAUAACUAAUGGGUAUCCACUUAUAUUAUUCAUAGUAACAAAUGGCACGUAAACAUAAAUAAUUUUUUUGAAGGGGUGUGAACAUAAUUUUUUUUCCAUAAAAUAAACAAUAUAAAAUGAUAAAUAUUGAUAGAAUACAUUGAUUAAUAAAAUUUCGCUAAAAAUAAAAAGGAUAAUCCAUUCGAGCUAAUAACAUAAAAUGAAAAAUUACAAAAACCAACAUAUAUGAUUAUAUUCAAAUGUCCAGAAUACUCAUACUUUCUGAUUUGUAAUGUUAAUGACAUCAGAGUCAUUGAUUAAAUAUGCACUGAAACGAAGUUGAUAUGACAAUUUGAAUCGAUUGAAUAUUAUAAUAACAAACAAAACAACAUCGCAACACCUGGACGGAAAACGAAAAAUAUAAAAAUAUAUGUAAACAUAGAUUUUUUUUUUGAAGAAUGUAAACAUAGAUGAUAACAAACAAAAUAACUAACGAAUUCUCAAUUUUUAUUGACAGUCUGUGUAAAACGAUAUACACCGACGGUGCAUUGUGUUACAUCGUAAAAACGCAGAACAACAGUGUUUCAACACAGUCACUUGGUCUAAACUAAAGAAAUAGACACCUUAAUGCUGCGACUUGCACUGCAAAGAGUUUCAUUAUCAUCUUCUUCUUCUUCCUGUUCCCGGUUCAUUACCGGUUCGGCUUCAAAACCAAGCUUAUCAAUAUGGAGGCGAAAGAAAGAGCUGGGUAAAGAAGGUCUCAUCAUUACCAAAGAGCUCAAGAGACUCCAAACCGACCCGGUUCGCUUAGACCGGUUUGUCCGGUCCAAUGUUUCUCGCUUGCUCAAGUCCGACCUUGUUUCUGUCCUCUUUGAGUUCCAUGGACAGGACAAUGUCUUUCUCUCUAUGAAGGUUCGGUUUUUACGUUUCUUCUUAGUUUUAUAUUAUAUUUUUCUCAAUGUUCUUGUUAUUAAUUUAGAGUAUAUUUGGAUUGAUUAUUUGAGCUUAUGAAACGGUUCGGGAGAACUUAUAGCUUAUAUUAAAAUAUUUGAUGACUUUAUUUUAUCGUUUGUUAUAGAUGGUAAUAGCUUAUAAAUAAGUGCUUAAAUGAUAAGUGCAUAUGUUAUAAACACUUAAUUAAGCUGUUUAUGUAAAAAGGGUAUAAACAGUUGGGCGUUGUUUUGAUAAACAAGUUUUUUUGCAACUUAUAGCAUACAUGCUUAUUAAAUAAGUGGUUAUGAAUAAGCUAUUUCUGUAAUAUAAGAUAAAAUAAAGUCAAACUGAUUUCGUAUAAGCUAUAAGUUGUUUCAUUAUACUAUCUUGAAGAGCUUAUGAAAAUAAGCUGAAAACAGCUUGUGAACAUGUCAUAAGCUGUUUUCUUGAAUUUUCAAAACAGUUUCACUAUGCUUAUGACAAUAGAUAACUCAAAUAAGUCAAUUCAAACAGGCCCUUAGUUUAUGAAAUUAACAAAAUUUGAUUUUGUAAAUUCUCAAUCACAUAAUGUCUAUGACAUCCAAUUUCAGGAACUAAAUUGAAUGAUUCAAAAGGACUAAUUUGAUAAAAAGAUGUUUAUUUUCCAAAUCUAUUUUGAAAUAUUAAUAAUUUCAUAAACAAAAUUGGCACUGUACUACAAUUUGGAGAUUGAUUUUAUUGAUAGUAUAUUGAUUUUAUAGGCGUUGUUGUUUAUGCAUUGGUGUGAUUACAUGAGAAGGUUAAGUGAUGGAUUUGAUGACACGAAUAAGUUUACCUUAGAAGAUUUACGGAUUUUCAGCAUAGGUAUAAACUUAAAAUACUCUUUUAAGCUUGAAGAGAAGAAAGAAAAAGUAUAAUCUUUUUGGGCUAAUUAGUUGUGUUACUAUGUGAUGUUACUUGCACUCAAAAGUCAUGGCUUUAACCUGUCUUAUUCUCAAUAGGAUGCUACAGUCGUUAUGUUUCAUACAUUUUCAUUGAAAUGGGCUUGAACUCUGUCACAUGGUUAUGUUCUGUUAUGUAUAUCUGAUCUUUAAUGUUGUCAUUGAUAUUCGCCUUAGCUCUUGAAUGGUAGAUGUGAGGUGUGUAUGAAUGAUUCAUGUGUAGGAUUCUUUCAUAGGCUGCAUUUAAAUGUUGAUUUGAAGAGAAAAUUAACUAUCUAAUAAAUGAAGAGAAUAAGUAGAAUGUAGCCAGGGUGUUGUUAUGAAUGAGGAAAAUAGAGAAAAUAAUUGACAGACGGUAACACAACAAUGUUAUGCAGAGACUUUUAAACAUAAAUUUCCCUUGCAAAAUUAGUACAUAACACUGUCCCUCAAUACGAUACAUCAUUUUUAUGCAGAUUUUUACAUACAUCAGUAAUCACUAUCUAGGGUUUAGUGAAAAUACAACCUAAUUGGUCUGCUCUUAGUAGGUUUUAACAGAAUUGACUCUUUAUGAAGUUCGGAACAAAACAUCUACCUGCAUUUAUGCACAUAGCUUUUGUGUGGAAUGCAGGAUCUGUUAGCUAUGUGUGUGUAAACCAAGCUCCUUCAAUAAACGUGAGCCAUUGUUCUAUCCUCAGAUUCAACAUUAGAGCCAACAACACUACCCUUAGUACUUUUCCAAUAUAAAAGACAAAUAACCUUAGAGUAAUGUUUUUAUGGUUCCUACAAAAUCACUAUUGUACUCCCCUGGGCAAAUAUCCAUUUUAGGCGGAUAGUACCGACAUGCAAAUAAGAUCCCACAUAUGAUUCGAUUCAAGAAGUACCACUGUAGGAGUGUUUAGGGGAUCAACAGAGAUUGGAACAUAAGAAGCAGUAAGAAAAUAUGAUUCUAAAGAGUUAACUCUUGCGAUAUUACUAAACUCUACCACACAUAUAUGAGUUAGAUCAUAUGUAAAAUCUCUUUUGCAUGAACUUUGACAAGAUCGAUAAACUUUCAAUUAGUCAAUUCUAUAGUUUUACCCUAUAUUUAUACAUGGUUUUGGCUACUGAUAUAUGUUUUCAAAUAAUAUUUUAUAAACUUGCAUGAGAUCAAGAUUUAGGUAUAGGAUUUGGGUUUAUCAACUCCUCACUAUACCAAGACUAUCGAGUUUGACAUGAAAACAACCUUUAGCAUUGUUGAUGAUCUAAGCUCUUAAGUAUUGUCGUGGAUAGGCAAUUCUACCUAGUGGGAACAAACUUUCAAGUUUGCUGAAAUUAUUAAUAUAUACUGUCAAGCUAGUUUUUUUUUCAUAUAUACAUUUGGGCUAUAAGAAAAAACCUUGAGCAAUUUUUCUAAAUUGCUUUGUUCAUGUCCUUAUGCU